GAGCGUAAGCGCGCGCAGGCGGCCUUUUAAGUUGGAUGUGAAAGCCUAUGGCUCAACCAUAGAACUGCAUCCAAAACUAUCAGGCUAGAGUGUGGGAGAGGAAGAUGGAAUUAGUUGUGUAGGGGUAAAAUCCGUAGAGAUAACUAGGAAUACCAAAAGCGAAGGCAAUCUUCUGGAACAUUACUGACGCUGAGGCGCGAAAGCGUGGGGAGCAAACAGGAUUAGAUACCCUGGUAGUCCACGCCCUAAACGAUGAAUGUUAGUCGUCGGGUAGCUAGUCUAUUCGGUGAUGCAGCUAACGCAUUAAACAUUCCGCCUGGGGAGUACGGUCGCAAGAUUAAAACUCAAAGGAAUAGACGGGGACCCGCACAAGUGGUGGAGCAUGUGGUUUAAUUCGAAGAUACGCGAAGAACCUUACCUAGCCUUGACAUAUUUUAGAACACUUUAGAGAUAGAGUGGUGCCUUCGGGAGCUAAUAUACAGGUGCUGCACGGCUGUCGUCAGCUCGUGUCGUGAGAUGUUGGGUUAAGUCCCGCAACGAGCGCAACCCUCGUCACUAGUUACUAACGGUUCGGCCGAGGACUCUAGUGAGACUGCCUUCGCAAGGAGGAGGAAGGUGAGGACGACGUCAAGUCAUCAUGGCCCUUACGGCUAGGGCAACACACGUGCUACAAUGGCCAGGACAAUGAGAAGCGAUACCGCGAGGUGGAGCAAAUCUAUAAACCUGGUCUCAGUUUCGGAUUGUAGU
This 747-nucleotide ribosomal RNA is filed under the name uncultured bacterium. RNAcentral's name for it is "bacterial SSU rRNA". It matches the Rfam family "Bacterial small subunit ribosomal RNA", at positions 556 to 1304 of the family's 1533-position model. The record is from RNAcentral.